AUGGACUGUAUAUCUCGAAACAAGACACUGGAACUCAUGAUAAGGAAGCGGCAGACGGACAGAGAAACAAAUCUAAGGAGGUAUUGGGGAGGUAUUGGGGAGGCGAGGACAAUCCCCAGACAUGGACUGUAUAUCUCGAAACAAGACACUGGAACUCAUGAUAAGGAAGCGGCAGACGGACAGAGAAACAAAUCUAAGGACUGUAUAUCUCGAAACAAGACACUGGAACUCAUGAUAAGGAAGCGGCAGAUGGACAGAGGAACAAAUGUAAGGACUAUAAAUCUCGAAACUGGACAUUGGAAUUCAUUAUAAAGAUACAACAAACAGGAGAAUUAGCAACAACCAGCUCUUGCAAUUAAGAAACAUGCCAACUCAGCAGAUUCCUGACCAAAGGUGAAAAGUACACUGUAAGGAAGACUCAGGGUCUUCCUCCCAAAGACCCCUGCCCAUGUCCCAAACACCCUGCCUACAAUUCUUGGGAGGCUCUACGCAGGUGCAAGGUGCUAAAAGGCUAAUUAGCAUGAGAAGCGAGGGAAGGCGGGGAUAGGUAAUGAAUAUGUAUAGGUGCUUGUAGAAUAUUGAUAGAUUGAUUGUAUAAAUUCAAGACUGCUUUCCGCUUUGGGUAUGCACGAUAGGUGGAGAGAUCCCCUGUGCAUCCAGUGCUGCAAUAAAGAAUAUACCACUUAAAGGAAUUUCGGCUUCAAUCUUUGAAUCACACCCCACAGAUAUUUAUAUACACUGAGGAGAUCCCCUCUAAGUCUUCUCUUCUCCAGGCUGAACAGACACAGGUCUCUCAGCCUUUCCUCAUAAGGAAGAUGCUCCAGGCCCUGUAUCAUCUUUGUGGCCCUCCGCUGGACUCUUUCCAGGAGAUUCCUGUCCUUCUUGUAC
RNAcentral lists this long non-coding RNA (888 nucleotides) under Anas platyrhynchos (mallard). RNAcentral's name for it is "lncRNA (ENSAPLG00020006806.1)". The record is from RNAcentral. Lineage: Eukaryota; Metazoa; Chordata; Aves; Anseriformes; Anatidae.